GGGUAGCUCAGUGGUAGAGUUCUUGCUUAGCAUGUGUGAGGCUCUGGGUUCAAUCCCCAGUACCCC
This 66-nucleotide transfer RNA is filed under the name Fukomys damarensis (Damara mole-rat). It matches the Rfam family "tRNA". From Rfam's summary of the family: Transfer RNA (tRNA) molecules are approximately 80 nucleotides in length. Their secondary structure includes four short double-helical elements and three loops (D, anti-codon, and T loops). Further hydrogen bonds mediate the characteristic L-shaped molecular structure. tRNAs have two regions of fundamental functional importance: the anti-codon, which is responsible for specific mRNA codon recognition, and the 3' end, to which the tRNAs corresponding amino acid is attached (by aminoacyl-tRNA synthetases). tRNAs cope with the degeneracy of the genetic code in two manners: having more than one tRNA (with a specific anti-codon) for a particular amino acid; and 'wobble' base-pairing, i.e. permitting non-standard base-pairing at the 3rd anti-codon position. Lineage: Eukaryota; Metazoa; Chordata; Mammalia; Rodentia; Bathyergidae. The record is from Rfam by way of RNAcentral.